RNAcentral lists this ribosomal RNA (443 nucleotides) under uncultured bacterium. RNAcentral's name for it is "partial 16S ribosomal RNA". It matches the Rfam family "Bacterial small subunit ribosomal RNA", at positions 338 to 795 of the family's 1533-position model. The record is from RNAcentral.
CCUACGGGAGGCAGCAGUGGGGAAUAUUGGGCAAUGGGCGCAAGCCUGACCCAGCAACGCCGCGUGAAGGAAGACGGCUUUCGGGUUGUAAACUUCUUUUCUCAGGGACGAAGCAAGUGGCGGUACCGGAGGAAUAAGCCACUGCUAACUACGUGCCAGCCGCCGCGGUAAUACGUAGGGGGCGAGCGUUAUCCGGAUUUACUGGGUGUAAAGGGGGUGUAGGCGGGACUGGAAGUCAGAUGUGAAACCCACGGGCUCAACCCGUGGCCUGCAGUUGAAACUGGAGUUCUUGAGUACUGGAGGGGCAGACGGAAUUCCUGGUGUAGCGGUGAAAUGCGUAGAUAUUAGGAGGAACACCAGUGGCGAAGGCGGUCUGCUGGACAGCAACUGACGCUGAGGCGCGAAAGCGUGGGGAGCAAACAGGAUUAGAUACCCCUGUAGUC